CCUACGGGUGACAGCAGUGAGGAAUAUUGGUCAAUGGACGAGAGUCUGAACCAGCCAAGUAGCGUGAAGGAUGACUGCCCUAUGGGUUGUAAACUUCUUUUAUAUGGGAAUAAAAUGUUCCACGUGUGGGAUUUUGUAUGUACCAUAUCAAUAAGGAUCGGCUAACUCCGUGCCAGCAGCCGCGGUAAUACGGAGGAUCCGAGCGUUAUCCGGAUUUAUUGGGUUUAAAGGGUGCGUAGGUGGAUUGUUAAGUCAGUUGUGAAAGUUUGCGGCUCAACCGUAAAAUUGCAGUUGAAACUGGCAGUCUUGAGUACAGGAGAGGUGGGCGGAAUUCGUGGUGUAGCGGUGAAAUGCUUAGAUAUCACGAAGAACUCCGAUUGCGAAGGCAGUUCACUGGACUGCAACUGACACUGAGGCUCGAAAGUGUGGGUAUCAAACAGGAUUAGAUACCCCAGUAGUC
This 460-nucleotide ribosomal RNA is filed under the name uncultured bacterium. RNAcentral's name for it is "partial 16S ribosomal RNA". It matches the Rfam family "Bacterial small subunit ribosomal RNA", at positions 338 to 795 of the family's 1533-position model. The record is from RNAcentral.